This 889-nucleotide ribosomal RNA is filed under the name Macrophomina phaseolina. Its description in RNAcentral is "LSU rRNA". It matches the Rfam family "Eukaryotic large subunit ribosomal RNA", at positions 37 to 944 of the family's 3401-position model. The record is from RNAcentral. Lineage: Eukaryota; Fungi; Ascomycota; Dothideomycetes; Botryosphaeriales; Botryosphaeriaceae.
AGCAUAUCAAUAAGCGGAGGAAAAGAAACCAACAGGGAUUGCCUUAGUAACGGCGAGUGAAGCGGCAACAGCUCAAAUUUGAAAGCUGGCUCCUUCGGAGUCCGCGUUGUAAUUUGUAGAGGAUGAUUCGGCGAGGGCUCCCGCCUAAGUCCCCUGGAACGGGGCGUCAUAGAGGGUGAGAAUCCCGUAUGCGGUGGGUUGCCUUAGCCAUGUGAAUCUCCUUCGACGAGUCGAGUUGUUUGGGAAUGCAGCUCUAAAUGGGAGGUAAAUUUCUUCUAAAGCUAAAUACCGGCCAGAGACCGAUAGCGCACAAGUAGAGUGAUCGAAAGAUGAAAAGCACUUUGGAAAGAGAGUUAAAAAGUACGUGAAAUUGUUGAAAGGGAAGCGCUUGCAGCCAGACUUGUCCGCAGUUGCUCAACCGGUCUCCUGACCGGUGUACUCUUCUGCGGCCAGGCCAGCAUCAGUUCGGGCGGUCGGAUAAAGGCCCUGGGAAUGUAGCUCCUCUCGGGGAGUGUUAUAGCCCAGGGUGGAAUGCGGCCAGCCUGGACUGAGGAUCUCGCUUCGGCUAGGAUGCUGGCGUAAUGGCUGUAAGCGGCCCGUCUUGAAACACGGACCAAGGAGUCUAACAUCUAUGCGAGUGUUUGGGUGUCAAACCCAUGCGCGUAAUGAAAGUGAACGGAGGUGGGAACCCUCACGGGUGCACCAUCGACCGAUCCUGAUGUCUUCGGAUGGAUUUGAGUAAGAGCAUAGCUGUUGGGACCCGAAAGAUGGUGAACUAUGCCUGAAUAGGGUGAAGCCAGAGGAAACUCUGGUGGAGGCUCGCAGCGGUUCUGACGUGCAAAUCGAUCGUCAAAUUUGGGUAUAGGGGCGAAAGACUAAUCGAACCAUC